RNAcentral lists this transfer RNA (87 nucleotides) under Ignavibacteria bacterium. RNAcentral describes it as "tRNA-Ser". It matches the Rfam family "tRNA". Rfam says of the family: Transfer RNA (tRNA) molecules are approximately 80 nucleotides in length. Their secondary structure includes four short double-helical elements and three loops (D, anti-codon, and T loops). RNAcentral also lists the same sequence under 1 other name. The record is from RNAcentral. Lineage: Bacteria; Pseudomonadati; Ignavibacteriota; Ignavibacteria.
GGAGAGGUGGCCGAGUGGUUGAAGGCGCUAGUCUCGAAAACUAGUAUGCGCGCAAGUGUAUCGAGGGUUCGAAUCCCUCCCUCUCCG